AUCGUUCAUCUCUGAAAAGAGACGGAAGUAAGUGAAAGCUGAAGGAACGCGCC
The submitters of this non-coding RNA (53 nucleotides) gave its source as unclassified sequences. The record is from Rfam.